GGUAGGUCCCGCCUGCCCAGUGACUUUUAGUUCAACGGCCGCGGUAUAUUGACCGUGCAAAGGUAGCGUAAUCACUUGUCUUUUAAAUGAAGACCCGUAUGAAUGGCACCACGAGGGCUUAGCUGUCUCCUUUUUCCAGUCAAUGAAAUUGAUCUCCCCGUGCAGAAGCGGGGAUAAUAACAUAAGACGAGAAGACCCUGUGGAGCUUUAGACACUAAGACAGCCCAUCCUGCUACUCUCCUUAAAUAAUCGGCCUAAACAAAUGACCCCUGUCCAAAUGUCUUCGGUUGGGGCGACCAUGGGGAAAUACAAAACCCCCACGCGGAAUGAGAGAACACCUAUACUUUAACCCCUCCCUCUCAAAACAAAGAGUCACAGCUCUAAGGAACAGAACUUCUGACCGAACAUGAUCCGGGUAAUACCGAUCAACGGACCAAGUUACCCCAGGGAUAACAGCGCAAUCCUCUUCUAGAGUCCAUAUCGACAAGAGGGUUUACGACCUCGAUGUUGGAUCAGGACAUCCUAAUGGUGCAGCCGCUAUUAAGGGUUCGUUUGUUCAACGAUUAAAGUCCUACGUGAUUGUUUUCUAACACCGCGGGG
Molecule: ribosomal RNA, 600 nt
Filed under: Scomberoides lysan (doublespotted queenfish)
Lineage: Eukaryota; Metazoa; Chordata; Actinopteri; Carangiformes; Carangidae
Description: partial large subunit ribosomal RNA
Rfam family: Bacterial large subunit ribosomal RNA
Source: RNAcentral